UACGUAGGGUGCAAGCGUUGUUCGGAAUCACUGGGCGUAAAGCGCACGUAGGCGGAUCUUUAAGUCAGGGGUGAAAUCCUGGAGCUCAACUCCAGAACUGCCUUUGAUACCGGGGAUCUCGAGUCCGGAAGAGGUGAGUGGAACUCCGAGUGUAGAGGUGAAAUUCGUAGAUAUUCGGAAGAACACCAGUGGCGAAGGCGGCUCACUGGUCCGGUACUGACGCUGAGGUGCGAAAGCGUGGGGAGCAAACAGG
This 253-nucleotide ribosomal RNA is filed under the name uncultured bacterium. RNAcentral describes it as "partial 16S ribosomal RNA". It matches the Rfam family "Bacterial small subunit ribosomal RNA", at positions 524 to 776 of the family's 1533-position model. The record is from RNAcentral.